RNAcentral lists this transfer RNA (72 nucleotides) under Bombyx huttoni. RNAcentral describes it as "tRNA-Val". Lineage: Eukaryota; Metazoa; Arthropoda; Insecta; Lepidoptera; Bombycidae. The record is from RNAcentral.
CAAAUUAGAGCUUGAAAUAAGUAUUUCAUUUACAUUGAAGUGAUAUUAUAUUUUGUAUUAUAAUUAAUUUGA